UUGAAUAAGUUUAUGUCCAGAAUAUUCCCUUAGUCAGCGUUGGGUCCCCCAAGUGGAUUCACAACUUAGAGGAUCUGACAGAGGGUACAGAACUUCUACGCUUUCCAAUCUAUCAUUUUAGAGAUCACGGACCUUUCUGCAGAACAAGGUCGGGCUAUACAUAUCUGGCAGUAGUGUCUAGGAAAUUGAGAUCAAUCAGCAAUAGAUAACAGCGAAGUGAUUAUUUCAGAUGGCAAGUGUUUUAAAACAUCAACGCAAUUUACAUGUCACAACAAUUUGGGGGCAGCCUGCCGCUUUAGUACAUCUGUGACCUAAGCCAAUUCCUUGAAUUACGGGGGAGAAAAUAACGUCGAUCAAACGGCUACAUAUCCUGAGGAGUGUUUCAUCACACUGAAUGGAUUCUUUCGACUAAGAGACGAAAAAUUUGGAAGCUUUGAACGUCUGUUUAUUACACUUGACAACACUUCAGCUUUAAAAGGUCAAGCUGAAAUUCACCAGGUGCCUAAGUAUCAGGGGUCUACUGAAAGCCAAGAUCAGUUGAUUAGCCAGUUGGAAUCAGGUGUAGCUUGUGCUUGGUUCUAUUGAAAACCUGCACCCACACCGGCCCUUUCUGGAUAAGAUUGGACACCCCUGGUCUAAACCGUUGGCAACAAAAGUGAGUACACCACUAUGUGUAAAUGUCCAAAUUGGGCCCAAUUAGCCAUUUACCCUCCCCAGUGUCAUGUGACUCAUUAGUGUUACAAGGUCUCAGGUGUGAAUGGGGAGCAGGUGUGUUAAAUUUCGUGUUAUCGCUCACACACUCUCUCAUACUGGUCACUGGAAGUUCAACAUGGCACCUCAUGGCAAAGAACUCUCUGAGGAUCUGAAAAAAAGAAUUAUUGCUCUACAUAAAGAUGGCCUAGGCUAUAAGAAGUUUGCCAAGACCCUGAAACUGAGCUGCAGCAUGGUGGGCAAGACCAUACAGUGGUUUCACAGGACAGGUUCUACUCAGAACAGGCCUCACCAUGGUCCACCAAAGAAGCUGAGUGCACGUGCUCAGCAUCAUAUCCGGAGGUUGUCUUUGGGAAAUAGACGUAUGAGUGCUGCCAGCAUUGCUGCAGAGGUUGAAGGGGUGGGGGGUCAGCCUGUCAGUGCUCAGACCAUACGCUGCACACUGUAUCAAACUGGUCUGCAUGGCUGUCGUCCCAGAAGGAAGCCUCUACUAAAGAUGAAGCACAAGAAAGCCCGCAUACAGUUUGCUGAAGACAAGCAGACUAAGGACAUAACGACCCCAAACACACCUCCAAGACGACCACUGCCUUGCUAAAGAAGCUGAGGGUAAAGGUGAUGGACUGUCCAAGCAUGUCUCCAGACCUAAACCCUAUUGAGCAUCUGUGGGGCAUCCUCAAAUGGAAGGUGGGGGAGCACAAGGUCUCUAACAUCCACCAGCUCUGUGAUGUCAUCAUGGAGGACUGGAAGAGCACUCCAGUGGCAACCUGUGGAGCUCUGGUGAACUCCAUGCCCAAGAGGGUUAAGGCAGUGCUGGAAAAUAAUGGUGGCCACACAAAACAUUGACACUUCGGGCCCAAUUUGGACAUUUCCACUUAGGAGUGUAGUCACUUUUGUUUAGACAUUAAUGGCUGUGUGUUGAGUUCUUUUGAGGGGUCAGCAAAUUUACACUGUUAUACAGGCUGUACACUUUACUUUACUUUACAUUGUAGCAGAGUGUCAUUUCUUUCUGGAUGCAUGCACAGUGUGUGGGAAUGGACACUUUGCAGCUUCAAACAGCCAGAAAAAAAAUAUGGAAAUACUGCUUGUGUGUUUAAGAAGACUAUUGUGUAAUAACAAUAAAAAACGGUGUGUAAUCGUGAUAAGAAAUGACUUGUUUAUUUAAAGAAGAGAGGAGUUAAACAAAUGAAGAAAAUAAACAAAUGAAUAAAAAUCAAUGAAGACAUUUUUUGGGAUAAGAAGAGGUGUACCUUGUGGAGGUGUCCAAGUAGAUUAUUUUAGUACUAGAUUUGGGUCACAUGACCUAGAAGCUAUUGAAGAAAUAGUAGGGUUUUUUUUAAAUAAAAAUUAAGAUAAAAAUAAAAGAAGAGAUUUUUUGGGAUACAAAGAGGUGUACCUUGUGGAGGUGUCCAACUAGAUUAUUUUGGUACUAGUUUAGGGUCACAGGGUAACAUGACUGUUACGUGCCACGACACGUAUUUCGGUUAUUAUGAUGGCUUUGUUUACAGCGUAACCUAUUGGGAGGAACGUGAUGCAGUUGGCCGCAUGCCAUAUACCUGCCGCUGACGGGAGGAGCCGAGUCGCGCUAUCGCCACCCCGGAAGAUUAACUGGAAGAAGAGUCAGGCUAUAAAAGCGAAACACUGACACCGCAUUGGGCGCGUUUUGUUUCUGCUUGUGUGUGCAAUCGCGUGGUUUGUUUGUCUAUCUAAGUACUUGGUGUAUUGAGGUGUAUGUACAGCUGUGUGUGUUUGUGUAGUGUUGUGCUGACGGGGCUCGGACAGGUAAGAAAGAGCGCGCUCAUACACUGUGCAACACGUAGGACGUCACACUGUCUAGACACCUUAGGAAAGGGGCGGGUGCCACCCCCUGUAUUUAAGUUUGUAAGGGAAGCGCAGUAUAGGCAGGUUUUUGGUUUCACUUUUGUUUGUAGUCCAGGAUGUAUUAAAAAUAAAGCAGCGUUAGGGAAGUAUCUUUUUUUUUUCAGCACCGCCGUUGUCCAGCCCCGUGUUUGGCUUGUUUGUGAAAUUUGUAAACAUUGUAAAUACGUAUGUUUUCUGUUGUACAGCACAGUAAACUAAUUAAGCACUACAGGUUGUGUCGCGAAAGCUUGUUUUUUUUUUCAUUCAGCCAGUUUACACUGUGUGUCAUUGUUUAGACCCGGUUGGACUCUUUCACCCACUGUCAGCUUGAUAAACCGCCGGUUGCUGACCCUGAGUCUCCCCUAGGCCUACUUCGGGGUCGUAACAAUGACCUAGAAGCUAUUGAAGAAAUAGCAGUUUUUUUUUAAUUAAAAUAAAAAUAAAAGAAGAGAUUUUUUGGGAUACAAAGAGGUGUACCUUGUGGAGGUGUCCAAAUAGAUUAUUUUAGUACUAGUUUUGGGUCACAGGCUCACAUGACCUAGAAGCUAUUGAAGAAAAAGUAGUUUUUUUUAAUAAAAAUUAAAAUUUAAAAAAAGAAGAGAUUUUUUGGGAUACAACGAGGUGUAUCUUGUGGAGGUGUCCAAGUAGAUUAUUUUACUACUAAAUUUGGGUCACAGGGUCACAUGACCUAGAAGCUAUUGAAGAAAAAGUAGUUUUUUUUAAUAAAAAUUAAAAUUUAAAAAAAGAAGAGAUUUUUUGGGAUACAACGAGGUGUAUCUUGUGGAGGUGUCCAAGUAGAUUAUUUUACUACUAGAUUUGGGUCACAGGGUCACAUGACCUAGAAGCUAUUGAAGAAAUAGUAGUUUUUUUAAAAAUUAAAAUAAAAACAAAAGAAGAGAUUUUUUGGGAUACAAAGAGGUGUACCGUGUGGAGGUGUCCAAUUACUAGUUUGGGGUCACAGGGUCACAUGACCUAGAAGCUAUUGAAGGAAUAGUUAUUUUUUUUCAGUCGUACGGAAAUUUGUCGACGGUCCCUAAACUUCCGCUACCGAAUGUCUGUCUAAUGUCUGAAUAUCAAGCUAACUUCACUGCGGUGCGAUGCCGGAGAGAGCGUGGACAUCCCGCUAGACCUCUGUUUAAAUGCAGGUUUCCUCAGCGACGGGUUAACGGCAACGUCUCUAACCAGGAAGUGAGACCUGAACAGUUCUGACGGCCGCCUCUCUGCCAGCGCCGUGACGGAGGAUUCUUGCGCCUCGCUGGAAUAAUGAGCGAUUUGAUUUGCGACCUAAUUCGCGACUACACCGCCACGUUUUCUAACGUGUGUGAAAAGGUUUUGAGUGAAAUGUUUUGAAUGUAUGUUCGCGUCGGUAUAUAUUUUUUGACAUUGUGAAUGCCGGGUUAUAGAUAGGGGGUAUAAUAAAAGUGUGCAAGAAAAACAAAAAAUCAUUUAACCCUGAGUUGUGACAUUUUAUUUAGCCCCCUCGUUAAAAGGAUACAAAAUAAGCAAAAAAAACCUAUAAACACUAUAAAAUAUAUAAACGCUAUAAAACAUAAAAUAAAUACAUAUAUCAUUAAAAAAAUAAAAAAUGGAUGAGACAUUAGAGAAGGCCUUCGCCGAAUUAAGGUUAAGCGUAGAAGAGCUAAGGCUUAUCCUGCCCUCCUUUCGCAUAGACGUACGGCAGGAGGUAUACGAUAAUGCCGCUGUGAUUCAACAAGAUCCUCUACAGGCGAUAGAAAAUGCAAUCCUCGGUUUAAAUAGAUCUGAUAAUCCGUUCCUGGAAAUCGAAGCUGCUAUUUGUUCUAUAAACACAGAAGCGGGAGAGAGAGAGACGUAUGGUGAGGAGGGGGUAGAAGGAGGUGCAGCAGAUGAGGGGGAGGAA
Hemibagrus wyckioides is the source of this 4447-nucleotide RNA transcript. RefSeq lists it as uncharacterized. The transcript has 7 exons. Lineage: Eukaryota; Metazoa; Chordata; Actinopteri; Siluriformes; Bagridae. The record is from RefSeq and is a predicted model, not a curated record.